Molecule: ribosomal RNA, 711 nt
Filed under: Limosilactobacillus fermentum
Lineage: Bacteria; Bacillati; Bacillota; Bacilli; Lactobacillales; Lactobacillaceae
Description: bacterial SSU rRNA
Rfam family: Bacterial small subunit ribosomal RNA
Source: RNAcentral
ACGCGUUGGCCCAAUUGAUUGAUGGUGCUUGCACCUGAUUGAUUUUGGUCGCCAACGAGUGGCGGACGGGUGAGUAACACGUAGGUAACCUGCCCAGAAGCGGGGGACAACAUUUGGAAACAGAUGCUAAUACCGCAUAACAGCGUUGUUCGCAUGAACAACGCUUAAAAGAUGGCUUCUCGCUAUCACUUCUGGAUGGACCUGCGGUGCAUUAGCUUGUUGGUGGGGUAACGGCCUACCAAGGCGAUGAUGCAUAGCCGAGUUGAGAGACUGAUCGGCCACAAUGGGACUGAGACACGGCCCAUACUCCUACGGGAGGCAGCAGUAGGGAAUCUUCCACAAUGGGCGCAAGCCUGAUGGAGCAACACCGCGUGAGUGAAGAAGGGUUUCGGCUCGUAAAGCUCUGUUGUUAAAGAAGAACACGUAUGAGAGUAACUGUUCAUACGUUGACGGUAUUUAACCAGAAAGUCACGGCUAACUACGUGCCAGCAGCCGCGGUAAUACGUAGGUGGCAAGCGUUAUCCGGAUUUAUUGGGCGUAAAGAGAGUGCAGGCGGUUUUCUAAGUCUGAUGUGAAAGCCUUCGGCUUAACCGGAGAAGUGCAUCGGAAACUGGAUAACUUGAGUGCAGAAGAGGGUAGUGGAACUCCAUGUGUAGCGGUGGAAUGCGUAGAUAUAUGGAAGAACACCAGUGGCGAAGGCGGCUACCUGGU